RNAcentral lists this ribosomal RNA (459 nucleotides) under uncultured bacterium. Its description in RNAcentral is "partial 16S ribosomal RNA". It matches the Rfam family "Bacterial small subunit ribosomal RNA", at positions 338 to 795 of the family's 1533-position model. The record is from RNAcentral.
CCUACGGGGGGCAGCAGUGAGGAAUAUUGGUCAAUGGGAGAGAUCCUGAACCAGCCAAGCCGCGUGAGGGAAGACGGCCCUAUGGGUUGUAAACCUCUUUUGUCGGAGAACAAAACCCGGGACGAGUCCCGGACUGCGUGUAUCCGAAGAAAAAGCAUCGGCUAACUCCGUGCCAGCAGCCGCGGUAAUACGGAGGAUGCGAGCGUUAUCCGGAUUUAUUGGGUUUAAAGGGUGCGUAGGCGGUCUGUUAAGUCAGUGGUAACAUUGCGGGGCUCAACCCCGUCGAGCCGUUGAAACUGGCAGACUUGAGUUGGACAGAAGUACGCGGAAUGCGAGGUGUAGCGGUGAAAUGCAUAGAUAUCGCGCAGAACUCCGAUUGCGAAGGCAGCGUACCGGCGCCAGACUGACGCUGAGGCACGAAAGCGUGGGGAGCGAACAGGAUUAGAUACCCUUGUAGUC